This is a non-coding RNA of Lentinus tigrinus ALCF2SS1-7, 91 nucleotides long. The record is from the annotation of a GenBank genome assembly. NCBI's taxonomy places the organism in Eukaryota, Fungi, Basidiomycota, Agaricomycetes, Polyporales, Polyporaceae.
GGCCGCCUGGCGUAAUGGCAACGCGUCUGACUACGAUCACCGGAAAGGUGUGGUAAUCAGGAGAUUGCAGGUUCGACCCCUGCGGUGGUCA